This 468-nucleotide ribosomal RNA is filed under the name uncultured bacterium. RNAcentral's name for it is "partial 16S ribosomal RNA". It matches the Rfam family "Bacterial small subunit ribosomal RNA", at positions 28 to 507 of the family's 1533-position model. The record is from RNAcentral.
GACGAACGCUGGCGGCGUGCUUAACACAUGCAAGUCGAACGGAAAGGCCCUGCUUUUGUUGGGUGCUCGAUUGGCGAACGGGUGAGUAACACGUGAGUAUCCUGCCCUUGUCUUUGGGAUAACUUCAGGGAACUGGGGCUCAUACCGGAUAGGAGCUCCUGCUGCAUGGUGUGCGUUGGAAAGUUUCGGCGGUUUGGGAUGGAAUAGCGGCUUAUCCGCUUGUUGGUGUGGUAGUGGCUUACCAAGGUUUUGACGGGUAGCCGGCAUGAGAGGGUGACCGGCCACAUGGGGACUGAGAGACGGCCCAGACGCCUACGGGAGGCAGCAGUGGGGAAUAUGGCACAAUGGGCGGAAGCCUGAGGCAGCAACGUCGCGUGCGGGAUGACGGCCUUCGGGUUGUAAACCGCUUUCGCCGGUGACGAAGCGUGAGUGACGGUAAUGGGUAAAGAAGCAACGGCUAACUACGUG